GAUGAACGCUGGCGGCGUGCCUAAUACAUGCAAGUCGAGCGAACAGACGAGGAGCUUGCUCCUCUGACGUUAGCGGCGGACGGGUGAGUAACACGUGGAUAACCUACCUAUAAUACUGGGAUAACUUCGGGAAACCGGAGCUAAUACCGGAUAAUAUAUUGAACCGCAUGGUUCAAUAGUGAAAGACGGUUUUGCUGUCACUUAUAGAUGGAUCCGCGCCGCAUUAGCUAGUUGGUAAGGUAACGGCUUACCAAGGCGACGAUGCGUAGCCGACCUGAGAGGAUGAUCGGCCACACUGGAACUGAGACACGGUCCAGACUCCUACGGGAGGCAGCAGUAGGGAAUCUUCCGCAAUGGGCGAAAGCUUGACGGAGCAACGCCGCGUGAGUGAUGAAGGUCUUCGGAUCGUAAAACUCUGUUAUUAGGGAAGAACAAAUGUGUAAGUAACUAUGCACGUCUUGACGGUACCUAAUCAGAAAGCCACGGCUAACUACGUG
This 497-nucleotide ribosomal RNA is filed under the name uncultured bacterium. Its description in RNAcentral is "partial 16S ribosomal RNA". It matches the Rfam family "Bacterial small subunit ribosomal RNA", at positions 28 to 507 of the family's 1533-position model. The record is from RNAcentral.